CCUACGGGAGGCAGCAGUAAGGAAUAUUGGUCAAUGGACGCAAGUCUGAACCAGCCAUGCCGCGUGAAGGAUGAAUGCCCUCUGGGUUGUAAACUUCUUUUAUAGGGGACGAAAAAGGGUCUUUUUAGAUCAACUGACGGUACCCUAGGAAUAAGCACCGGCUAACUCCGUGCCAGCAGCCGCGGUAAUACGGAGGGUGCAAGCGUUAUCCGGAUUUACUGGGUUUAAAGGGUGCGUAGGUGGGUUGGUAAGUCAGCGGUGAAAUCUUCGAGCUUAACUCGGAAACUGCCAUUGAUACUAUCAGCCUUGAAUAUCCUGGAGGUGAGCGGAAUAUGUCAUGUAGCGGUGAAAUGCUUAGAUAUGACAUAGAACACCAAUUGCGAAGGCAGCUCACUACGGGAUUAUUGACACUGAGGCACGAAAGCGUGGGGAUCAAACAGGAUUAGAUACCCUGGUAGUCCACGCCCUAAACGAUGGAUACUCGACAUUUGCGAUAUACAGUAAGUGUCUNAGCGAAAGCAUUAAGUAUCCCACCUGGGAAGUACGAAUCGCAAGGUUGAGACUUAAAGGAAAUUGACGGCUGAGACNGCGAGACGACACGAGGAGGAGGAG
Molecule: ribosomal RNA, 612 nt
Filed under: uncultured bacterium
Lineage: Bacteria
Description: bacterial SSU rRNA
Rfam family: Bacterial small subunit ribosomal RNA
Source: RNAcentral